Molecule: transfer RNA, 72 nt
Filed under: Bos taurus (domestic cattle)
Lineage: Eukaryota; Metazoa; Chordata; Mammalia; Artiodactyla; Bovidae
Also listed under: 2 other names
Rfam family: tRNA
About the family: Transfer RNA (tRNA) molecules are approximately 80 nucleotides in length. Their secondary structure includes four short double-helical elements and three loops (D, anti-codon, and T loops).
Source: Rfam by way of RNAcentral
UCCCUGGUGGUCCAAUGGUUAAGAAUCUUCCCUCCAAGGCAGAGGACCCAGGUUCAAUCCCUGGUUGGGGAA